This 89-nucleotide transfer RNA is filed under the name Laccaria amethystina LaAM-08-1. It matches the Rfam family "tRNA". From Rfam's summary of the family: Transfer RNA (tRNA) molecules are approximately 80 nucleotides in length. Their secondary structure includes four short double-helical elements and three loops (D, anti-codon, and T loops). The record is from Rfam by way of RNAcentral. Lineage: Eukaryota; Fungi; Basidiomycota; Agaricomycetes; Agaricales; Hydnangiaceae.
GGCGCUAUAGUGUAGUGGUUAUCACUCGAGAUUCUGAGACAUGGUGGCCUCGUUUUCUCGAAACCCAGGUUCGAUCCCUGGUAGCGCCU